AAAAUUUAUGGGAAAAGUUUGUAUUAUAAUGCAAAGCUAAUCAUGAGGCAGUUUAGGUCUAAAACUAGGACUGAUUAAAAUUGUGUCUUACCUGUUCUUCUCCUGCAUAUCAUGAUCAAUAUCACAAUCAGGACAACAGCCACACAUAUAGCCACUCCAGAGCCAAUCCAGACAUCUCUUGUAAUUUUAUCUGAGAGACAGGGUACAGACAGGUUUUGUGGUCAGUUUCUCCAGCUAUUCAUACGUUA
Anguilla anguilla (European eel) is the source of this 248-nucleotide long non-coding RNA. RefSeq lists it as uncharacterized. NCBI's taxonomy places the organism in Eukaryota, Metazoa, Chordata, Actinopteri, Anguilliformes, Anguillidae. The transcript is spliced from 2 exons. The record is from RefSeq and is a predicted model, not a curated record.